ACGAGGUUAAGAUACUAAGGGCAUACGGUGGAUGCCUUGGCGCCAAGAGCCGAAGAAGGACGCGGAAAGCUGCGAAAAGCUCCGGGGAGCCGCAAGCAGGCUUAGAUCCGGAGGUGUCCGAAUGAGGCAACUCAGCCGGAGUAAUAUCCGGCUACCGUGCACUGAAUAGAUAGGUGUACGGGGGGAACCGGGGGAACUGAAACAUCUCAGUACCCCGAGGAAAAGAAAGCAACAGCGAUUCCCUGAGUAGCGGCGAGCGAAAGGGGAGGAGCCUAAACCAUACCUGUGUAAACCUGCCGGUGUUGCAGGUAUGGGGUAGAGGGGCAAAUCAGGCAGCGCGGCAGAGCUGCCGGGGAGUAAGAAACCUUAUCUAUAGGCGAAGAGGACUGGAAAGUCCCGCGACACAAGGUAAAAGCCCUGUAGCCGAAAUAGAUGAGGCUCCCGAUUUGACCCCGAGUACCACGGGACACGAGGAACCCUGUGGGAAUCCGGGAGGACCACCUCCCAAGGCUAAAUACUCCUUGGCGACCGAUAGUGAACUAGUACCGUGAGGGAAAGGUGAAAAGCACCCCGGGAGGGGAGUGAAAGAGAACCUGAAACCGUGUGCCUACAAGCAGUCAGAGCCCGAUUUAGCGGGUGAUGGCGUGCCUUUUGUAGAAUGAACCGGCGAGUUACGGUAGCAAGCGAGGUUAAGGCGGGGAGCCGGAGCCGAAGCGAAAGCGAGUCUGAAGAGGGCGAAAAGUUUGCUGCCGUAGACCCGAAACCGGGUGAUCUACCCAUGUCCAGGGUGAAGCGGGAGUAAAGUCUCGUGGAGGCCCGAACCGACCGACGUUGAAAAGUCGGCGGAUGAGGUGUGGGUAGGGGUGAAAUGCCAAUCGAACCCGGAGAUAGCUGGUUCUCCCCGAAAUAGCUUUAGGGCUAGCCUCAGGGGAUGAGUUAUGGAGGUAGAGCACUGAAUGGGCUAGGGGCCUGAGCAAGGUUACCGAACCUUAUCAAACUGCGAAUGCCAUAACUUGGACCCUGGGAGUCAGACUAUGAGGGAUAAGCUUCAUAGUCGAGAGGGAAACAGCCCAGACCGCCGAUUAAGGUCCCGAAGUACAGGCUAAGUGGGAAAGGAUGUGCAGCUGCACAGACAACCAGGAUGUUGGCUUAGAAGCAGCCAUCAUUUAAAGAGUGCGUAAUAGCUCACUGGUCGAGUGGUUGUGCGCCGAAAAUGUCCGGGGCUAAGCCUGUCACCGAAAUCGCGGAUUCGCUUGAGUCACCAGUGUCCUAUAAGGCGAACAGGGAAAGGAAGGAGAUUUAGUCAAAACCGACCUUAAGAAAGGAAUAAUGAGGUUUUGACUAAAUGCCAACAGCUAAGCCUGUCCGUCAGAUAGGGUAGCGGUGACUCAAGCGAAUGGUAGGGGAGCGUUCCAUGGGCGGAGAAGGCAUACCGAGAGGAGUGCUGGAGCGCAUGGAAGUGAGAAUGCCGGUAUAAGUAUGCGAAAAGGCAGGUGAGAAUCCUGCCCGCCGAAAACCUGAGGUUUCCUGGGGAAGGCUCGUCCGCCCAGGGUAAGUCGGGACCUAAGCCGAGGCCGAAGAGGCGUAGGUGAUGGACAAUCGGUUGAAAAUCCGAUACCACCAUACAACCGAUAUUACGAAGGGGUGACGCAGGAGGCUAGGGAGAGCCGGUGAUUGGAAGGACCGGUCCAAGCCAGUAGGGAGUGAGGCAGGCAAAUCCGCCUCACGGAAAUCCUGAGAGGUGAAGGGGAGCCCGUAAGGGCGAAGCUUCUGACGCCAAACUGCCGAGAAAAGCCUCUAAGGAGGGGGUAUGGUGCCCGUACCGGAAACCGACACAGGUAGGUGAGGAGAGAAUCCUAAGGCGAGCGAGAGAACCCUCGUUAAGGAACUCGGCAAAAUGACUCCGUAACUUCGGGAGAAGGAGUGCCGCUAGAUGUGAAGGGCCUUGCGCCUGGAGCAUAGAGCGGUCGCAGAGAAGAGGCCCAAGCGACUGUUUACCAAAAACACAGGUCCCUGCCAAAGCGAAAGCUGACGUAUAGGGGCUGACGCCUGCCCGGUGCCGGAAGGUUAAGGGGAAAGGUUAGCUGAGAGGCGAAGCUUUGAACCGAAGCCCCGGUAAACGGCGGCCGUAACUAUAACGGUCCUAAGGUAGCGAAAUUCCUUGUCGGGUAAGUUCCGACCCGCACGAAAGGCGUAACGACUUGGGCGCUGUCUCAACGAGGGACUCGGCGAAAUUGUAGUACACGUGAAGAUGCGUGUUACCUGCGACAGGACAGAAAGACCCCGUGGAGCUUUACUGUAGCCUGACAUUGGAUUUUGGUAUUGCAUGUACAGGAUAGGUGGGAGACUGGGAAGCUUAGGCGCCAGCCUAAGUGGAGUCGCUGGUGGGAUACCACCCUUGUGAUAUUGAAGUUCUAACCCGUACACGAGAGCCGGGUAGGGGACAGUGUCAGGUGGGCAGUUUGACUGGGGCGGUCGCCUCCCAAAGAGUAACGGAGGCGCCCAAAGGUUCCCUCAGCGCGAAUGGAAAACGCGCGGAGAGUGCAAAGGCAGAAGGGAGCUUGACUGUGAGACCGACGGGUCGAGCAGGGACGAAAGUCGGGCUUAGUGAUCCGGUGGUACCGAGUGGAAGGGCCAUCGCUCAACGGAUAAAAGCUACCCCGGGGAUAACAGGCUUAUCUCCCCCAAGAGUCCACAUCGACGGGGAGGUUUGGCACCUCGAUGUCGGCUCAUCGCAUCCUGGGGCUGAAGUAGGUCCCAAGGGUUGGGCUGUUCGCCCAUUAAAGCGGUACGCGAGCUGGGUUCAGAACGUCGUGAGACAGUUCGGUCCCUAUCCGUCGCAGGCGGAGGAAAUUUGAGAGGAGCUGUCCCUAGUACGAGAGGACCGGGAUGGACAGACCGCUGGUGUACCAGUUGUUCCGCCAGGAGCAAUCGCUGGGUAGCCAAGUCUGGACGGGAUAAGCGCUGAAAGCAUCUAAGCGCGAAGUCCACCUCAAGAUAAGAUUUCCCACUGGGAAAACCAGGUAAGACCCCUGGAAGAAGACCAGGUAGAUAGGCCGGGAGUGUAAGAGCCGCAAGGCUUUGAGCGGACCGGUACUAAUAGGUCGAGGUCUUAACCUC
RNAcentral lists this ribosomal RNA (3120 nucleotides) under Carboxydocella thermautotrophica. RNAcentral's name for it is "bacterial LSU rRNA". It matches the Rfam family "Bacterial large subunit ribosomal RNA". The record is from RNAcentral. Lineage: Bacteria; Bacillati; Bacillota; Clostridia; Eubacteriales; Clostridiales Family XVI. Incertae Sedis.